CCCUUAGAUGUCCGGGGCCGCACGCGCGCUACACUGAAGGAAUCAGCGUGGCUUUCUCCCUGGUCCGAAGGGACCGGGAAACCCGUUGAAUCUCCUUCGUGAUAGGGAUUGGGGCUUGAAAUUGUUCCCCAUGAACGAGGAAUUCCCAGUAAGCGCGAGUCAUAAGCUCGCGUUGAUUACGUCCCUGCCCUUUGUACACACCGCCCGUCGCUACUACCGAUUGAACGGUUUAGUGAGGGCCUCGGAUUGGUCUCGGCCCGCUCUUCACCGGGCGGCGCCGUUGGUCGAGAAGACGCUCGAACUUGAUCGUUUAGAGGAAGUAAAAGUCGUAACA
RNAcentral lists this ribosomal RNA (334 nucleotides) under uncultured eukaryote. RNAcentral's name for it is "partial 18S ribosomal RNA". It matches the Rfam family "Eukaryotic small subunit ribosomal RNA", at positions 1470 to 1796 of the family's 1831-position model. The record is from RNAcentral.